CAUAUCAUCUUAUGUUCUUAUAGUUUUCUUAAAAGUAUUUUGUUCUAACUCUUUUAUUUUCUUGGUUAUAGAAAUUGGGAUUAUUCAAAUCUUGGAAAGGAUAUAACUCAACCGGGACAAGAUUUCAACUAAGAAAAAACUUCAAGAUAUUGCCAAAGGGUUCAUCUUCAUCAUACAAAGUUGUAAUGGGAUCGCGUAUAGUUGAUGGUGAUCAUCAAUCUUGUUAUAAGAUUGUAAAACGCAAAUCGGUUUUCACAAUCGAGGAUGGAUCAGGAAGAUUAUUGGCAGAAGUUAAAAAGAAACAAUCAAAUAUCAAAAGUUUAGAUCUUGGGAAAGAUGUAUUAACAAUGAUGGUGGAGCCACAAGUAGAUCACUCUUUAAUAAUGGGUAUUGUUAUAGCAUAUAGUCUUCUCAAAUGUAA
This 421-nucleotide small RNA is filed under the name Arabidopsis thaliana (thale cress). RNAcentral's name for it is "ATSL054370". Lineage: Eukaryota; Viridiplantae; Streptophyta; Magnoliopsida; Brassicales; Brassicaceae. The record is from RNAcentral.